Molecule: ribosomal RNA, 452 nt
Filed under: uncultured soil bacterium
Lineage: Bacteria
Description: bacterial SSU rRNA
Rfam family: Bacterial small subunit ribosomal RNA
Source: RNAcentral
AGAACGAACGCUGGCGGCAUGCCUAAUACAUGCAAGUCGAACGAACUCUUCGGAGUUAGUGGCGCACGGGUGCGUAACGCGUGGGAAUCUGCCCCUUGGUUCGGAAUAACAGUUGGAAACGACUGCUAAUACCGGAUGAUGACGAAAGUCCAAAGAUUUAUCGCCAAGGGAUGAGCCCGCGUAGGAUUAGCUAGUUGGUGAGGUAAAGGCUCACCAAGGCAACGAUCCUUAGCUGGUCUGAGAGGAUGAUCAGCCACACUGGGACUGAGACACGGCCCAGACUCCUACGGGAGGCAGCAGUAGGGAAUCUUGCGCAAUGGGACGAAAGCCUGACGCAGCCAUGCCGCGUGAAUGAUGAAGGUCUUGGGAUUUAGGUAAAAUUCUUUACACCGGGACGAUAAUGACGGUACCCGGAGAAGAAGCCCCGGCUAACGUUCGUGCCAGCAGCCGAC